This 420-nucleotide ribosomal RNA is filed under the name uncultured bacterium. RNAcentral describes it as "bacterial SSU rRNA". It matches the Rfam family "Bacterial small subunit ribosomal RNA", at positions 356 to 773 of the family's 1533-position model. The record is from RNAcentral.
GAGGAAUAUUGGGCAAUGCCCGCAAGGGUGACCCAGCAACGCCGCGUGGAGGAUGAGUGUCGUAAGAUUGUAAACUCCUGUUAGAGGGGAAGAAUAGUACCGGUUGGACCGGUAUAUGACUGUACCCUCAGAGAAAGCCCCGGCUAACUACGUGCCAGCAGCCGCGGUAAUACGUAGGGGGCAAGCGUUGUCCGGAUUUACUGGGUGUAAAGGGCGCGCAGGCGGGAUAAAAAGUCAGUUGUGAAAUCCUACAGCUUAACUGUAGAACUGCCUUUGAUACUUUUAUUCUUGAGUUCGGGAGAGAGAGACGGAAUUCCAGGUGUAGUGGUGAAAUACGUAGAUAUCUGGAAGAACACCAGUUGCGAAGGCGGUCUCUUGGUCCGACACUGACGCUGAGGCGCGAAAGCGUGGGGAGCAAAC